AUGCAGAGGCGGCUUAUUGGACGUGCAACUGACAUUCACAUUAGGCCCCUGAAUGAAGAGAAAGCUACUCAAGCUGCUACAGAUCUUCUUGGUGAACUGUUCAUUUUCUCGAUGAUUACAACUGACAUUGACUCCCACAGAAGUGGCAACUCAGAAGCCAGAAAAGAAGAGGCCCGUAAUAAGGCACUGGAGGAAAUAAAGGAGAAGAUGGAGGAGCUCGAGAGGGAAAAGCAAAUGAUGAAGCUGAGAGUGGCCGAGGUGGAGCGGGUAACCGGGGCAGGGAGAGGGUGGCCGUGGGUUCUUCCAAGGGCCUUCACUUCCGGCGUUGCCCAGGCAGAGCCAGAGCCAGAGCCAGCAGCUCAGCAGCCCACGGCUGCUUAG
This 381-nucleotide ribosomal RNA is filed under the name Triticum aestivum (bread wheat). RNAcentral's name for it is "partial small subunit ribosomal RNA". The record is from RNAcentral. Lineage: Eukaryota; Viridiplantae; Streptophyta; Magnoliopsida; Poales; Poaceae.